GACGAACGCUGGCGGCGUGCUUAACACAUGCAAGUCGAACGAUGAAGCCGGAGCUUGCUCCGGUGGAUUAGUGGCGAACGGGUGAGUAACACGUGAGCAAUCUGCCCUUGACUCUGGGAUAACUGCGGGAAACUGUAGCUAAUACCGGAUACGACACCUUGGGGCAUCCCAGGGUGUGGAAAGAAUUUCGGUCAAGGAUGAGCUCGCGGCCUAUCAGCUAGUUGGUGAGGUAAUGGCUCACCAAGGCGACGACGGGUAGCCGGCCUGAGAGGGUGGCCGGCCACACUGGAACUGAGACACGGUCCAGACUCCUACGGGAGGCAGCAGUGGGGAAUAUUGCACAAUGGGCGCAAGCCUGAUGCAGCAACGCCGCGUGAGGGAUGACGGCCUUCGGGUUGUAAACCUCUUUUAGCAGGGAAGAAGCGAAAGUGACGGUACCUGCAGAAAAAGCACCGGCUAACUACGUGCCAGCCGCCGCAGUAA
Molecule: ribosomal RNA, 483 nt
Filed under: uncultured bacterium
Lineage: Bacteria
Description: partial 16S ribosomal RNA
Rfam family: Bacterial small subunit ribosomal RNA
Source: RNAcentral